GCUGGCGGUAUGCUUUACACAUGCAAGUCGAACGGGCUUGGGGGCUUGCUCCCAAGUUAGUGGCGAACGGGUGAGUAAUAUAUCGGAACAUAUCCGGAAGUGGGGGAUAACGUAGCGAAAGUUACGCUAAUACCGCAUAUGCCCUGAGGGGGAAAGGGGGGGAUCGCAAGACCUCUCGCUUUCGGAGUGGCCGAUAUCGGAUUAGCUAGAUGGUGAGGUAAAGGCUCACCAUGGCGACGAUCCGUAGCUGGUCUGAGAGGACGACCAGCCACACUGGAACUGAGACACGGUCCAGACUCCUACGGGAGGCAGCAGUGGGGAAUUUUGGACAAUGGGCGAAAGCCUGAUCCAGCCAUACCGCGUGAGUGAAGAAGGCCUUCGGGUUGUAAAGCUCUUUCAGCCGGAAAGAAAUUGCUUCCAUUAAUACUGGGAGUAGAUGACGGUACCGGAAGAAGAAGCACCGGCUAACUACGUGCCAGCAGCCGCGGUAAUACGUAGGGUGCGAGCGUUAAUCGGAAUUACUGGGCGUAAAGCGUGCGCAGGCGGUUUUAUAAGCCAGAUGUGAAAUCCCCGGGCUCAACCUGGGAACUGCAUUUGGAACUGUAAGACUAGAGUAUAGCAGAGGGGGGUAGAAUUCCACGUGUAGCAGUGAAAUGCGUAGAUAUGUGGAGGAAUACCAAUGGCGAAGGCAGCCCCCUGGGUUAAUACUGACGCUCAUGCACGAAAGCGUGGGGAGCAAACAGGAUUAGAUACCCUGGUAGUCCACGCCCUAAACGAUGUCAACUAGGUGUUGGGGGAGGAGACUUCCUUAGUACCGUAGCUAACGCGU
This 829-nucleotide ribosomal RNA is filed under the name uncultured bacterium. Its description in RNAcentral is "bacterial SSU rRNA". It matches the Rfam family "Bacterial small subunit ribosomal RNA", at positions 35 to 860 of the family's 1533-position model. The record is from RNAcentral.